Molecule: long non-coding RNA, 756 nt
Organism: Cyprinus carpio carpio
Lineage: Eukaryota; Metazoa; Chordata; Actinopteri; Cypriniformes; Cyprinidae
Source: Ensembl
UAAAACGUCAUUAGCAUGCGCUAGUGGUAAACAAUAAGAGCAUAAUGAAUCACACUUCGACAGUUGUAGUUUUUAUGUGUGCUGAAAAAAAAGUGGAAGUGGUGCAAGAGGAAGGAAUAAGAGCUUGAGGAUCAUCGGUUAGGAGCCACGAUUGUUUCACGAUGCCAAUCUUUCAUCUGGGACAGCCGAAAAUCAUGCGGUGUGUCUCGGGCUUAAGAACCCUGGAGCUGAAUCUGCCAGUUUGAGUCCUUGAAAGGGACUGUGUGCAUUUGUGACACUAUGAAGUCGGGUGUGUGCUUAUCCAAAAGACUCGGAAAAACGGAAGCUCCACUAGUGUUUUUGGCUCGUUUUCCCUCUUCUGUCACUGGAUUGAUUUCAUAAGAACCUGAGCAGUGAGUCAGACAGCUGGACUUUAUGACUCACUCAAACUCAAAGUCUGCAAGAUCCAUAUCUGAUCCAUGUCUCCAUGGCUGCGUUUGGACAGAAACACUAGUUCAGUACUAACUGAAUAUAUCUUUUUUUAGUUUAGCAGACACUUUAAGAAAAAGUGAGUUAUAAAUGAGUAAGAAAACAUGAUUCAUCAUGAGGCAACUCUUAGUUUUGACGUGAUGUAACACCAGUCUGGAGACAAAUCAAAUCUUCACUGUGCUGCCUCUGCCAGUUAUUUUUUUUUUCUCCAGGAUUGUGGUAAGCACUAAUGUACUGAGACCAUGAUAUUAAAAGAGCACAUUCAGUAUACACAUUAUUGAUAAUGCA